UUUACCUGAAAAAUCCUCGGAUGCUUAGCAAUAAACAUCAUAAUCUUGCUAUGAUAACUUGUUAGAGCAUUGAUUAUGAUCGACAUAUGUGUUUCCAUGUGGGUCUUGAUAUUGGUGGUAUAAACUGCAGCUCAUUGUACUAUCCUGCCUUAUGUUUUAAGGAUUUACGAGUUAGUAAUUGCACAUAACUGCAUCGAGUGGCUUCACUGUUGUUAUCAUAUGAAAUUAUUACAUUCCAACCAGGGUCUAGCAUGUUCUCCCAUUAGUUUCUUUCACCCUCCA
RNAcentral lists this long non-coding RNA (282 nucleotides) under Setaria viridis. RNAcentral's name for it is "long non-coding RNA (SVIR_LNC002590)". The record is from RNAcentral. Lineage: Eukaryota; Viridiplantae; Streptophyta; Magnoliopsida; Poales; Poaceae.